Molecule: ribosomal RNA, 450 nt
Filed under: uncultured bacterium
Lineage: Bacteria
Description: partial 16S ribosomal RNA
Rfam family: Bacterial small subunit ribosomal RNA
Source: RNAcentral
CCUAUGGGGGGCUGCAGUGGGGAAUUUUGGACAAUGGGGGCAACCCUGAUCCAGCCAUGCCGCGUGAGUGAAGAAGGCCUUCGGGUUGUAAAGCUCUUUCGGACGGAAAGAAAUCGCGCAGGUAAAUAAUCUGCGUGGAUGACGGUACCGUAAGAAGAAGCACCGGCUAACUACGUGCCAGCAGCCGCGGUAAUACGUAGGGUGCGAGCGUUAAUCGGAAUUACUGGGCGUAAAGCGUGAGGACGGGGCUGAAAUCCCCGGGCUUAACCUGGGAAUGGCGCUUGUGACUGCAAGGCUCGAGUGCGGCAGAGGGGGGUGGAAUUCCACGUGUAGCAGUGAAAUGCGUAGAGAUGUGGAGGAACACCGAUGGCGAAGGCAGCCCCCUGGGUCGACACUGACGCUCAUGCACGAAAGCGUGGGGAGCAAACAGGAUUAGAUACCCUUGUAGUC